Musca domestica (house fly) is the source of this 3508-nucleotide long non-coding RNA. RefSeq lists it as uncharacterized. The record is from RefSeq and is a predicted model, not a curated record. Lineage: Eukaryota; Metazoa; Arthropoda; Insecta; Diptera; Muscidae. The transcript is spliced from 6 exons.
GUCGAAAUUCCAACUAGUGGUCAAAAAGCGUACCUCGGGGAGAGAGAAAACAAAAUUUACUUUCGUUUGAAUGCACAUACGCCAUUCAACAUUGUAUGUUUCAUUCAUAAUUUUCAGUCUUCCUGAAAACUUUUAAAAUGUCAUUAUUUUUUUUUAUUUUGAGUUUUGAAAUGUCCUAAUUUAUUUUUUGAUAAAUUAUCUUGGAUCUUUAAUAUAUGAUCAUUGUAGUUCUGUGAUUUGAAUGGAACAAAGAACAAAAAUGUUUGUUCGCUCAGAAUAUUUUUUUGUGAGGAAUCAAGUAGAUAUUUCAUAAUUAUUGUUCGAACAACGAAUAGAGAGCGAUUUACGUAUCAUGUGAUUGAAUUUGGUCUAAAAAAAAUAAAGGGAAUACCAAUUUAAAUACCUAGUCGUAGUUUUGACGGUGCAAAUGUAACCAUGUAAGACAGCGGAAUUGCCAAAGACCCGAAACUAAAUCGAAACAAGACACAAUUAACCCUAGAUUGGUUAAAUGAGCAUUUAGUGGCGGAGGAUUCUGAAUUAAUGGAUUUAAUAAUAAAUGGUAUGGGAAGAGAAGACAGAAGAUACGUGAUGAAAAGUGUAUAUACCACUUUAAAUUUGUCAUUUCUCAAUCAAUCAUUUUACACCAUUGUUUUUUAACAGUUCCACUGGACGUAAACCGCUCUUUGUUUUCCGGUGGACCCCCUUCAGCAGACAGUACAAGAGAUUGCUUGCAACAAAUGAACUGGAUGAUGCAAGACUAUUUUGAUAUGGACACGCUUGGUGUAAAGGUAACCACAACAAAACUAUUGUCAACUGAUGAUGAAACAGCUAUGGAAUUAUUAAGGAAAUAUACAAGAAAAGUUGACGAACGAUAUAAAGGUCGUCUUUUAAACGUGCCUCCAUUCCCAAAUUCACAUGAAAUGACAUUGAAACGUUUAUACAGUGUGGAAAAUAAAAUGGCCCGGGAUAGUGGUAAUUGCAGUGCAUAUUGUGAGAAAAUAAAUGACUACAUAUCUAAGAGCAAUUGCUGAAAAGUUGAAGUAAACGAAUUACAUUUAAAUCCACAACGAGUUCUAUAUCGACCUCAUUUUGGUGUGAACAAAAAAAGGAAUUAGGAUUUUGUUUUAUGCUGCAGCCGAAGUGAACAAUGUGUCGUUGAAUAAGUGCCUUUUAAGUGGGCCAGACAUAAACAUUUUUUUAUAUUUCGUGAAGCUUUAAUAGACAUCUGUGGGGACAUAAAAAAGAUGUUCCAUCAAGUCAAAAUCGCCAAAGAAAAUCAAGAUUGAUAACGAUUUCUUUGAAGAAAUGGAGAUAAAAAUAAAAGAGAGGAAACUUAUGUUAUGCUAAGAAUGUUAUUUGGCGCAACUUGUUCGCCAACUAUAUCCCAAUAUGUAAAAAAUAUGAAUGCCGAUAUGUUUGUGAAAGAGUAACCUCACCAAUUGUUAAUCGCCAUGAUGUGAACGACUAUGUCGACGGUUUUCAAAACGUGAUUAGAAUUCAUAGUGUUGGAGGUUUUGUGUUGAGAAAUAUUAUUUCAAAAUCCAAGAGAGUAAUUCAAAUUGUGGAGAAUCGGCCAGCAGAGCCAACGAUAGCUGUGAUUUUUUGAAUAAAAAUUCUGUUGAAAGGAUUUUGGGCAUACACUGAUUGCCAAAUCCAGAUAUUUUCUGCUUCCGCUUGAAUUUACAUAAAGUUGAUAAAUCCAUUUUAGACUUUUCAAAGAUUUCUACAAAACGUCUGAACAUGUCAAUCUAUGACCCAUUCGGAUUUGUUUGCCAUUUUAUGGUUGCUUCGAAAAUAUCAAUGCAAAAAGAAAGUUGAUUUACAUAUAUUGCAGAUGCGAGUGAAGAUGCAAUGGCUACGAUAGCGUAUUGUCGCGUGGCUGGCACCAAGAGUGUGGAACACUGACGGCAGCUAGUGACUAAAGUUCUUACCAAAACAUUAGGACGAACAAAGAAUAUUUUUUUCCAAUCUCAGAUUAGGACAAACAAAGAAGGUACGUCACAUUAAACCGACGAUCUAACUAAAGCUUGGUAACCUUACCUUGAAUUGAGCUCAGUUCAACGGCGCGUACCUGCAUACCAACACAAGUCCGGAGUUCAAUAAACAGCAGUGUCAAUUGAGAAAGAUACCAAGCCAUGAUGGAGCAACAAUGGCGUAAAAUCUGCCACUCCCUCGAUGGAAUGGGCGGGCGAUGGUGUGGCUCGUUGAUUUCAAAUCUCCUGGUCUGGAUGUGUAUUUUUAAGAUUUUUUUUGUUUCUGGUAUUUAUUUAAGGCUUGUUCUGCUGUUAACUUCUAUUUAGUUUUAGGAAUAGAUUGGUUGAGAUAAAACUGUCUUUAUGAUAUAUAGGAUGUAGUAUCCAUUAAGAAUAAUGUCGCUAAACUCAUCAAAAUACCGAAUAUCUAGAGGUACCAUUAUAUAGUAGGACGGACAUCACUAAAUCGACAGACAAUUUUAUGCUGGUCAAGAAAAUAUGUACUUUGUGGGAUCUAAAUGUAUAUUUCGAGGUGUAACAAUUGGAAUGACAAACUUAAUAUACCCUUCAUACUAUGGAUAUGGUAUAUUGUUGUUGCCACUUGUUCCUCAAGAAAACUGAUCACAAAUACAAAUGAAGGGAGAUUUCGAAUUGAGUAGCAAUGAAAGAGAUAUGAGAAUGAAUGCGAAGCCUUAAAACCCCAAAAUAGAAGAAAUAAAAUGCUCUUAAAUCGAAAGAAAUUAAAUAGAUAUCAAAUCAAGUUAAAUGCGAAGACACAGAACGCGUAUUAAAAAAUAAAAGUUUUGUCGACGGCGAAUUUACUUUUAUAUUUAAUUUGAUGAAAUAAGAUGAACAUUUUUUUGAUUAAAUAGAUCCAAAAACAGGCAUUGAAUUUUCGCCUUAAACUUGUAUCCGGUUCGUUGAGGACCAACAUAAAAUACUUGGGAGUCGUCGGUAAUUUUCUUGUAGAAGUUAAACGCUUAGAAACCGAUCCAAAGAAAUUUUGUUGAAAGCACAAUAUUUCUUCCAGAAGGAUUUCGGAUUGAGUUGGAAAAAGAGAAACAAAUAAAAAACAAGCAGAAUUUGUUUGUGUUGUGAAAAGAAAUGCUAUGGUAAUGGAUUUAUGGGUGUAAUUAACUUUGACUAUUCUGAAAUCAUUCUGUACUCAAUUAUGAAGUAGACAAAACUAAAUACCACACAGCACGAUCAUAAACAUAGCAAAUUCCAAAUUACAGCACAUUUGAACAGAAAAUGUUGUUAAGUUCUCUACAAUACUAAAAAUUUAGCUAAGCUCUUACAUGGGGCUAUUAUAAACCGUUGAGCCAGAUCUGUGAAUAAUUGUGCUUAAAAAAAUGCAUUAAAGACUAAGUUAACGGGCAGCUAACGGGGACCGCGCCAGAUAGUACAAAAUAGUAGUUCCUAUAGAAACAGCACUCCUAGCGGCUGACCAACCAGAGAUAGCCCUCUCUCCGAGAACACAUUAUUUGUUUUAUUAAAAUACAAAGAUUUUUAGUAUUUUGUGUUUUUUUUUUUUU